UACGUAGGUGGCGAGCGUUGUCCGGAUUUACUGGGCGUAAAGAGCGCGCAGGCGGUCGUACAAGUCGCGUGUGAAAGCCCCCGGCUCAACUGGGGAGGGUCACGCGAUACUGUUCGACUCGAAGGCAGGAGAGGGAAGUGGAAUUCCCGGUGUAGUGGUGAAAUGCGUAGAUAUCGGGAGGAACACCAGUGGCGAAGGCGACUUCCUGGCCUGUUCUUGACGCUGAGGCGCGAAAGCUAGGGUAGCGAACAGG
RNAcentral lists this ribosomal RNA (253 nucleotides) under uncultured bacterium. RNAcentral describes it as "partial 16S ribosomal RNA". It matches the Rfam family "Bacterial small subunit ribosomal RNA", at positions 524 to 776 of the family's 1533-position model. The record is from RNAcentral.